AAACUUUCAACAACGGAUCUCUUGGUUCACCGCAUCGAUGAAGAACGCAGCGAAAUGCGAUAAGUAAUGUGAAUUGCAGAAUUCAGUGAAUCAUCGAAUCUUUGAACGCACAUUGCGCCCCUUGGUAUUCCGAGGGGCAUGCCUGUUCGAGCGUCAUU
This 158-nucleotide ribosomal RNA is filed under the name Aureobasidium sp. 11b_amb. RNAcentral describes it as "5.8S ribosomal RNA". It matches the Rfam family "5.8S ribosomal RNA". Rfam says of the family: 5.8S ribosomal RNA (5.8S rRNA) is a component of the large subunit of the eukaryotic ribosome. Lineage: Eukaryota; Fungi; Ascomycota; Dothideomycetes; Dothideales; Saccotheciaceae. RNAcentral also lists the same sequence under 1 other name. The record is from RNAcentral.